GAUGAACGCUGGCGGCGCGCCUAACACAUGCAAGUCGAACGAUUAAAGCACCUUCGGGUGUGUAUAAAGUGGCGAACGGCUGAGUAACACGUGGGCAACCUGCCCCUCGCAUUGGGAUAGCCACGGGAAACCGUGGAUAAUACCGAAUACUUCGGGACUUCCGCAUGGAAGACUCGAGAAAGCUCCGGCGGAGGGGGAUGGGCCCGCGGCCUGUUAGCUUGUUGGUGGGGUAAUGGCCUACCAAGGCAAUGAUGGGUAGCUGGGUUGAGAGACCGACCAGCCAGAUUGGGACUGAGACACGGCCCAGACUCCUACGGGAGGCAGCAGUGGGGAAUCUUGCACAAUGGGCGCAAGCCUGAUGCAGCGACGCCGCGUGCGGGAUGAAGGCCUUCGGGUUGUAAACCGCUUUCAGCAGGGACGAAGCGAAAGUGACGGUACCUGCAGAAGAAGCCCCGGCUAACUACGUG
This 467-nucleotide ribosomal RNA is filed under the name uncultured bacterium. Its description in RNAcentral is "partial 16S ribosomal RNA". It matches the Rfam family "Bacterial small subunit ribosomal RNA", at positions 28 to 507 of the family's 1533-position model. The record is from RNAcentral.